This 453-nucleotide long non-coding RNA is filed under the name Fukomys damarensis (Damara mole-rat). Its description in RNAcentral is "lncRNA (ENSFDAG00000023882.1)". Lineage: Eukaryota; Metazoa; Chordata; Mammalia; Rodentia; Bathyergidae. The record is from RNAcentral.
GGCGACGCCGCUCGGUCCCUUCUUGGUGUGCUAAAUACUUUGGGACUAAAUGUUAACCCCAGGCUAGCAGUUACUGCAAGAAAUGGGAUUCCUAGGGUCUGAAAGUUUGUUUUUGGUUGCCUCCUCCAGCUCCUCCCAUGGCCUCAUUUGUCUCUACUUUCUUUGAAAGCACACAGAUUGGAAUUAGAAUUAUAUUCUCCGUGGCUCACCGUGCCCCCAUCACCCGGAGGAGCUCUUAACUUGGCAACAAAGCGGCUGCAGGCUGUAGGAAGUCUGAUGCCUGCUCUGCGCAGCCUGGUGCCCUCCUUUUGUUAGAACAGGAGGGGUUUGGUGUAAAUGGCAGUGACAGCCCCCCCACCCCCAGCUGGCUGGUGGAGAAGAAAGCAGAGAGUCAGAUGGAUCAACCUGAGCCCAGAGGAGCUCCAGCUAACCUGGACAGGUCCCCCGCACCCC